AGAAAAUAACAAGGUAGGCCUAAACUGUAAUAAGAUAUAUCUUAUAGACUGCUUCAGUGCAUUUGGAAAGUAUUCAGACCCCUUGACUUUUUACACAUUUCAUUUUUUACGUUACAGCCUCAUUCUAAAAUGGAUUACAUACAACAUUUUCCUCAUCAAUCUACACACAAUAUCCUAUAAUGACAAAGCAAAAACAGUUUAGACAUUUUUGCAAUUUAAAACGGAAAAAAACAGAAAUACCUUAUUUACAUAAGUAUUCAAACCCUUUGCUAUGAGACUCGAAAUUGAGCACCGGUGCAUCCUGUUUCCCUUGAUCAUCCUUGAGGUAUUUCUACAACAUGAUUGGAGUCCACCUGUGGUAAAUUCAAUUGAUUGGACAUGAUUUGGAAAGGCACAUACCUAAGGUCCCACAGUUGACAGUGCAAAAAUCUAUUUUAAUUCCAGGUUAUAAGGCAACAAAAUAGGGAAAAUGCCAAGGGGGGUGAAUACUUUCGCAAGCCACUGUAAAUGGUUCAGUUCACAUAAACAGUCAUUAUUUUCAGUUUGAGAGAUCAUCCCGGGCUUUGCCCCGUCUGCUGUAGCUGAGAUGUCCCUGGAGGACAUAGAACAACAAGACUAUGAUGUUUCUGACACUGAGAGAGUCAGGUAAGGCCACUUACACUCUGUCCAGUUAGAUAUUUGUGUGGAGAUUAAGAGAGAGAGACUAAUAAGAAAGAACUUGUUAUGGGGCAGGUCAGGCGUCAUUCAUGGAGUCAUUUGUAGGGUCAAGUCCCCAGCCGAUCUAUUUGAACCGCUCAUUAUUUGUGGCCAUGUAUUAACUACUAAGUGAGUCUUUGACAUGAAGACAGUGGUUAGAUUCUGCCAUUGGGACUGCUCUGAUGUUGUUUCCAUUCUCUCCUGGUUAUGACCAUAGAGCCUUGUCCCAGUCUCUAGACCUGCCUGUCUGUGUGGUGGAUGACCACCUGACCUCUGAAGCUGUCAAUGAGAUGGAGCAGAGCAAUUCUACCAGGAGCAGAGCAACCUCAGUGAUGGAAACCACAGAAGAGGGGAAGCUCAACAAUGUGGAACAUCUGACACUGAUGGACUUCCUUCAAAACCUAACUGAGAAG
Long non-coding RNA from Oncorhynchus tshawytscha (Chinook salmon), 1109 nucleotides. The record is from Ensembl. Lineage: Eukaryota; Metazoa; Chordata; Actinopteri; Salmoniformes; Salmonidae.